UCUGAUGCAGCACGCCGCGUGGAGGAUGACGCAUUUCGGUGUGUAAACUCCUUUUAUAAGGGAAGAUAAUGACGGUACCUUAUGAAUAAGCACCGGCUAACUCCGUGCCAGCAGCCGCGGUAAUACGGAGGGUGCAAGCGUUACUCGGAAUCACUGGGCGUAAAGGAUGCGUAGGCUGGAAAUCAAGUCGAGAGUGAAAUCCAACGGCUCAACCGUUGAACUGCUCUCGAAACUGGUUACCUAGAAUAUGGGAGAGGUAGAUGGAAUUGGUGGUGUAGGGGUAAAAUCCGUAGAUAUCACCAGGAAUACCGAUUGCGAAGGCGAUCUACUGGAACAUUAUUGACGCUGAGGCAUGAAAGCGUGGGGAGCAAACAGGAUUAGAUACCCUGGUAGUCCACGCCCUAAACGAUGCACACUAGUUGUUGCGAUGCUAGUCAUUGCAGUAAUGCACUUAACAGAUUAAGUGUGCCGCCUGGGGAGUACGGUCGCAAGAUUAAAACUCAAAGGAAUAGACGGGGACCCGCACAAGCGGUGGAGCAUGUGGUUUAAUUCGAAGAUACACGAAGAACCUUACCUGGCCUUGAUAUCCUAAGAAUCCUUUAGAGAUAAGGGAGUGCUAGUUUACUAGAACUUAGAGACAGGUGCUGCACGGCUGUCGUCAGCUCGUGUCGUGAGAUGUUGGGUUAAGUCCCGCAACGAGCGCAACCCUCGUGAUUAGUUGCUAACAGUUCGGCUGAGCACUCUAAUCAGACUGCCUUCGCAAGGAGGAGGAAGGUGAGGACGACGUCAAGUCAUCAUGGCCCUUAUGGCCAGGGCUACACACGUGCUACAAUGGCUAGGACAAAGAGACGCGAUACUGCGAAGUGGAGCAAAUCUUAAAACCUAGUCUCAGUUCGGAUUGGAGUCUGCAACUCGACUCCAUGAAGCUGGAAUCGCUAGUAAUCGUAGAUCAGAUAUGCUACGGUGAAUACGUUCCCGGGUCUUGUACUCACGCCCGUCACACCAUGGGAGUUGAUUCACCCGAAGCCGGAUACUAAACUAGUACGACACGUGGGUCAGCGACUGGGGU
This 1069-nucleotide ribosomal RNA is filed under the name uncultured Sulfurospirillum sp. Its description in RNAcentral is "bacterial SSU rRNA". It matches the Rfam family "Bacterial small subunit ribosomal RNA", at positions 382 to 1481 of the family's 1533-position model. Lineage: Bacteria; Pseudomonadati; Campylobacterota; Epsilonproteobacteria; Campylobacterales; Sulfurospirillaceae. The record is from RNAcentral.